GCUUUCAUAGUCAAUGGUUAGAGCACCUGUUUAGUAAGUGGGAGGUCUUGAGUUCAACUCUCAAUGAAAGCA
RNAcentral lists this transfer RNA (72 nucleotides) under Datura stramonium (jimsonweed). RNAcentral describes it as "tRNA-Thr". It matches the Rfam family "tRNA". Rfam says of the family: Transfer RNA (tRNA) molecules are approximately 80 nucleotides in length. Their secondary structure includes four short double-helical elements and three loops (D, anti-codon, and T loops). The record is from RNAcentral. Lineage: Eukaryota; Viridiplantae; Streptophyta; Magnoliopsida; Solanales; Solanaceae.